This 218-nucleotide ribosomal RNA is filed under the name uncultured bacterium. Its description in RNAcentral is "partial 16S ribosomal RNA". It matches the Rfam family "Bacterial small subunit ribosomal RNA", at positions 326 to 539 of the family's 1533-position model. The record is from RNAcentral.
ACGCUCGACACCUACGGGAAGCAGCAGUGAGGAAUAUUGGUCAAUGGGCGCAGGCCUGAACCAGCCAAGUAGCGUGAAGGAUGACUGCCCUAUGGGUUGUAAACUUCUUUUAUACGGGAAUAAAGUUUUCCACGUGUGGAAUUUUGUAUGUACCAUAUGAAUAAGGAUCGGCUAACUCCGUGCCAGCAGCCGCGGUAAUCUGAGCGGGCUGGCAAGGC